This 481-nucleotide ribosomal RNA is filed under the name Rhinocheilus lecontei (longnose snake). Its description in RNAcentral is "partial 16S ribosomal RNA". It matches the Rfam family "Bacterial large subunit ribosomal RNA", at positions 1809 to 2608 of the family's 2925-position model. The record is from RNAcentral. Lineage: Eukaryota; Metazoa; Chordata; Lepidosauria; Squamata; Colubridae.
AAAAACAUAACCUUUAGCCAAACAAAUAUUAAAGGCAACGCCUGCCCAGUGAACAAUUAAACGGCCGCGGUACCCUAACCGUGCAAAGGUAGCAUAAUCAUUUGUCUACUAAUUAUAGACCUGUAUGAAAGGCAAAAUGAGGGUCCAACUGUCUCUUAUAAUAAAUCAAUUAAACUGAUCUCCUAGUAAAAAAGCUAGAAUAAUACCAUAAGACCAGAAGACCCUGUGAAGCUUAAAUCAAACUACUAAAUCACAUAGUAAUUACUUUCGGUUGGGGCGACCUUGGAAAAAAAUAGAACUUCCAAGACCCAGUACAACUGACAAUUGAACCAAGUUACUCCAGGGAUAACAGCGCAAUCUUCUUCAAGAGCCCAUAUCAAAAAGAAGGUUUACGACCUCGAUGUUGGAUCAGGACAUCCUAAUGGUGCAGCCGCUAUUAAGGGUUCGUUUGUUCAACGAUUAACAGUCCUACGUGAUCUGA